This 24-nucleotide non-coding RNA is filed under the name Vibrio phage 1.081.O._10N.286.52.C2. The record is from RNAcentral. Lineage: Duplodnaviria; Heunggongvirae; Uroviricota; Caudoviricetes; Pantevenvirales; Straboviridae.
GAAAUCUCCUAAAGCCUCGAAGCC